GCGGGGAUUGCCAAGCCUGGUCAACGGCGCCGGACUUAAGAUCCGGUCCUAAGCGGUUCGUGGGUUCGAAUCCCUCUCCCCGCA
This 84-nucleotide transfer RNA is filed under the name Methanobacteriota archaeon. RNAcentral describes it as "Euryarchaeota archaeon tRNA-Leu". It matches the Rfam family "tRNA". Rfam says of the family: Transfer RNA (tRNA) molecules are approximately 80 nucleotides in length. Their secondary structure includes four short double-helical elements and three loops (D, anti-codon, and T loops). Further hydrogen bonds mediate the characteristic L-shaped molecular structure. tRNAs have two regions of fundamental functional importance: the anti-codon, which is responsible for specific mRNA codon recognition, and the 3' end, to which the tRNAs corresponding amino acid is attached (by aminoacyl-tRNA synthetases). tRNAs cope with the degeneracy of the genetic code in two manners: having more than one tRNA (with a specific anti-codon) for a particular amino acid; and 'wobble' base-pairing, i.e. permitting non-standard base-pairing at the 3rd anti-codon position. Lineage: Archaea; Methanobacteriati; Methanobacteriota. The record is from RNAcentral.